GGGCUCACUUUGGCAGUACAUAUAGUAAAAUUGGAAUGAUACAGAGAUUAACAUGGCCCUGUUCAAGGAUGACACCUCACAUUUGUGCAGCAUCCCAUAUAUAU
RNAcentral lists this small nuclear RNA (104 nucleotides) under Neotoma lepida (desert woodrat). The record is from RNAcentral. Lineage: Eukaryota; Metazoa; Chordata; Mammalia; Rodentia; Cricetidae.